AUUGAACGCUGGCGGCAUGCCUUACACAUGCAAGUCGAACGGCAGCACGGGGGCAACCCUGGUGGCGAGUGGCGAACGGGUGAGUAAUACAUCGGAACGUGUCCUGUCGUGGGGGAUAACGUAGGGAAACUUACGCUAAUACCGCAUGCGACCCUGAGUCGACGGACUGGGGGUGAAAGUGAGGGACCUUCGGGCCUCACGCGACCAGAUGAGCCGAUGUCGGAUUAGCUAGNGGCGGGGUAACGGCCCGCCAAGGCGACGAUCCGUAGCUGGUCUGAGAGGAUGAUCAGCCACACUGGGACUGAGACACGGCCCAGACUCCUACGGGAGGCAGCAGUGGGGAAUCUUGGACAAUGGGCGCAAGCCUGAUCCAGCCAUGCCGCGUGGGGUGAAGAAGGCC
RNAcentral lists this ribosomal RNA (400 nucleotides) under uncultured bacterium. Its description in RNAcentral is "bacterial SSU rRNA". It matches the Rfam family "Bacterial small subunit ribosomal RNA", at positions 28 to 416 of the family's 1533-position model. The record is from RNAcentral.